RNAcentral lists this long non-coding RNA (290 nucleotides) under Nicotiana tabacum (common tobacco). RNAcentral describes it as "long non-coding RNA (NTAB_LNC012195)". Lineage: Eukaryota; Viridiplantae; Streptophyta; Magnoliopsida; Solanales; Solanaceae. The record is from RNAcentral.
CUGUGGUGCUCCUUGGAUCGUUCAAUAAACUCCUUUGCGAUAUCACGUCCUUGGUAUGAAGCUAAUACAGUUCGAAUAUCAGCUGGCCUAUUCUUUCCAACAUCUGCAUGCACAAGGUAUGAAGUCAUUAAAAGUGAGAUUUGCAUGGUGACCACCUGAUUCUAUACAUCAUCUGUUAUUGACAUGCUUACAUUCAAGAAAAGGAAUAAGAUCCAAAAGUGUGGUAUCUUCCACAUCUCCUUUCCAUGGUUUUAUUUCUACGCAAUUCUCUGGCUGAAGGCUACUUUCUA